AAUUGCUAGUAAUGGCAGGUCAGCAUACUGCCGUGAAUACGUUCCCGGGCCUUGUACACACCGCCCGUCACACCAUGAGAGUUGGGAAUAUCCGAAGCCUGUGAGCUAACUUUUAAGAGGCAGCAGUCGAAGGUAGAAUCAAUGAUUGGGGUGAAGUCGUAACAAGGUAUC
RNAcentral lists this ribosomal RNA (171 nucleotides) under uncultured bacterium. RNAcentral's name for it is "partial 16S ribosomal RNA". It matches the Rfam family "Bacterial small subunit ribosomal RNA", at positions 1330 to 1500 of the family's 1533-position model. The record is from RNAcentral.